This 8404-nucleotide long non-coding RNA is filed under the name Lactuca sativa (garden lettuce). Its description in RNAcentral is "long non-coding RNA (LSAT_LNC002370)". Lineage: Eukaryota; Viridiplantae; Streptophyta; Magnoliopsida; Asterales; Asteraceae. The record is from RNAcentral.
UUCAUGUAAACACAUCUAUGUAAACGUAUUCAUGUAAGCGGAGAUCUUUGUAAGUGUAUCCCUAUAAGUAUAUCCAUGUAAGAGGAAUCUCUGUAAGAGUAUCCCUUCAUAUAGCAUGUAGUCUAGACUCAUGAAUGAACUGACUCUGGUGUAAUUUCUUCUAAUAAGAAUAAUGUUUUGUAUCCCCUAAACUAUUGCUAUAAUAGUUUACUAGAAUGUAAUUGAUGAGUGUCCAAGUAGGUUUAUACACUCUUGCUACCCAAGAGUGUCGGAAUUGAACUGACUGAUGGAACAUUUAAGACUAUAUAUGUACAUAUGAUAUAUAACUAAUAUUUAAACGACUUUCGGACGAGUACCCAAUAUCCCAUCAGACCACAUCCAAAUCGAGGAAAAGGAAACAGGGUGGAUAGCCUUCCUAAGUCUUUUAAACAUUUCUUAUAUAACUAUACAUAUAGAGGCAUGCAAUUUAUAAUAUAAAAGCAUAAAAGAAGUUUUGUAAAACCUUUGAAAAGUUUAGUGGAUAAGAAUUUAUGACUUGAUGUCAGUUUAUAAAUAUAAUCGAAAACCGUUUGACAACACAGUUUAAGUGUGAGAAAACCUUUGUUUGAAGCACAACUACAAGAGAUUCAAAAAAAAGGAAGCCUACAGUUUGUAAGACAGUUUCUAAAAGUAUUUCAACAUGUAAAAACGUUUGAGAAAACUAUUUGAAGUACAUAUGAAAAUGUUCGUUUGUUCUGGUAUAUGAAUGUAUCUCCUUGAAAUAGUAUUUCUAGUAAGUAAAAGUUCGUGAUGUUCUCGUAAAACUAUACCUAUUAUAGUUUUCUUUAAGUGUGUCUCGUUUGUAUAGUAAUCCCUAGUAAAAUGUUCACUUGUUAUGAAAAGUAUAAUUUUUAUAGUGUCUAAGAUGGACACAUAAACAUACAGUAUAAGCAGAGUGUUUGAUUUAUACAUAUAUAACAACCUUUUUCAUUUCAAAAGAUAUGAUGUUAUCGUGAUACAUUUUGCAUAUGAAAGUUUCCUUAUAAUAGUUAUAAAUCACAUAUGAUUCCAUUCAUAAAAAGUGUAUAAUGAAACUUUAUAUAACACACGAAAAUUAUCGUGUGUUUUACUUGUAUUCCCCCCUUAAAAGCAUAUUGAACAUUUAUAAAACAUUUAAAAGUGUAGAUUAUAGGGGUAUGAACUCACUUGAUAGAUUGAAGAAAGCGAGACGAAAACCGAGUAGAACUUCUACUCAAGCAAGCGGAUUUCUCGGGAUUCUCGGGAAUCUCGGGAACGUAAAACUUCCUUCCCAACUUGGAUAUGAAAAUCGGGCCUUUGGGAUGACUCCGAGGGUUGAAACGUAGAGCUUCGGCGCGAGAAAGGGAAGAAUUGAGCAAAAAUGGCCGGCAUCCUCGCACCCUUUAUAUAGGGUCUGAAUCCCUCGCGUACGCUGGGCGUACGCAACGUCAUGCAUGAGCACAUCCUUGGUCGAAGCAUCGGAGCGACGUGGACGAGUCGGAGCCUAGCAUCCGAGUACGCUGGGCGUACGAGGGUACACUGGGCAUACGAGGGUACGCUGGGCGUAACUUGGAUUGGUCCGAUGACUCCUCCUUCGGAUAAUAUCGGAUUUUGAAUUAAAUUUAUAUUUUAAUUAUUCAGUAAACUUCAAAAAUUCAUAUCUUCCUCAUACGAACUCCGUUUUCGACGUUCUUUAUAUCCACGCGAAGGUGAGACUACGAGCUACAACUUUCGUUUAGACUCCAUCGGCAAAUUCUGACUUUAUUUUUAAUAUUAUAUUUUAAUAGGUUGGGACAGGAAAAGUCCGUUAAAGUUCCAUAACUUCUUCAUCCGACGUCCGUUUCCGUCAGACUUUUUACCGUUGCGCUUCUAUUGUUGAGACCUUCGAUUCUCAUUUAGUUUGUGUCGGCUAAAAGUCUCUCGAUCUCUAUUUCGAGUUUUUUGCUGUCUACUGCUAUAUCCGUAACUUAGAAAAAUCAUAACUUCCUCAUACGAAGUCAGAUUUGGACGUUCUUUUGAUGUACGCUUAUGGUUUAANUUCUUAAGUGAACUCGGUUGCUCGCUUGGCAUUCCAGCGAACCUUUCACUAUCGGGAUACGACUUUGCUUCUUUCGUUUGACUUCACUGGCAUGAUAACUCUUCUUGGUCGAACGUAUGUUGAAUGUUUUUGUGGACUGUGAGAAUAGUACAUAUUGUACCCUACAAGUAGUGUCUCCAGAUAUUCAAAGCAAUCCUUCUUGAGGUGCCCUAUCUCCCCGCAUUGGUGGCAUGACUGGCUACCUUGCUNNNNNNNNNNNNNNNNNNNNNNNNNNNNNNNNNNNNNNNNNNNNNNNNNNNNNNNNNNNNNNNNNNNNNNNNNNNNNNNNNNNNNNNNNNNNNNNNNNNNNNNNNNNNNNNNNNNNNNNNNNNNNNNNNNNNNNNNNNNNNNNNNNNNNNNNNNNNNNNNNNNNNNNNNNNNNNNNNNNNNNNNNNNNNNNNNNNNNNNNNNNNNNNNNNNNNNNNNNNNNNNNNNNNNNNNNNNNNNNNNNNNNNNNNNNNNNNNNNNNNNNNNNNNNNNNNNNNNNNNNNNNNNNNNNNNNNNNNNNNNNNNNNNNNNNNNNNNNNNNNNNNNNNNNNNNNNNNNNNNNNNNNNNNNNNNNNNNNCUCCCGCCACCAAGGCUAGCACUAGCCAGUCAUGCCACCAAUGUGGGGAGAUAGGGCACCUCAAGAAGGAUUGCCCUAUAACAAAGAACUCUGGCGUAGACGGUAGGAUUCUCAGGAUCACAGUUGUAGGAGAACCUACUCCGAACCCACGUUAAUGUAAUUUAGGCGUUUCGUUGUAACAGACUUAUAAACCAUCCAAAACUAGUGCAACCAGAGUCUUAUCUUUUGUGGGAUCUCGUCGGUAUAGGGAUGCUCGUGCUGGGUAUACUUGCCUUUUGUAGUAUACCUUAUUCGCAACAAUAGUCUUAUAGUAGUCUAAAGUACUGUAACUCUGUUGAUGGUUGCACGAUUGUGUUUUGUCUAUAAACGUCUUAUGUUCAAAUCUAAUGUCUUUAAGUUUCCUUAUGAUUCCGACAUUAUCAUACGACUUGAUUUAGUUUGAUUCUCACAAAAACAACUUCAUACGUGCAUCUCUUUCUUCGAAAUCACCUUUCCAACGAAGCCGUCAUAUCGGAACACCAAGUACUCAUGGAUGGAGUACCUCAUAGUUCUUUUCCUUUCCGAAGAAAUCCCCGAAGUACCACUCGUACAGUACGUCAAGUUCAAAUCCAAAGAUCCAUACAGUUGAUCUGUCGCUGAUGAAUGUAUACAUAGGGGUGAUGUAUAAUCAAGGUUCUACAGGUUUAGAAUUGACGAUUCCGCUUUAACUCCUUUUUCUUCGAUGGGAUGUGAGCUUAAAGAAGAAUCAGUUAUUCGACUACCUUUUCAAUCUUAAUUAUAUACAACUCGUAUAUACGAGAUUGUGAUCGUUGAACCAUGUAUGAAUUCUAAUAUGAACUUCAGGACAGAGACAGCCCAAGACUACGAGUGAUCGUGUUGCCAUGCGAAUAAACUUAGAAGCCCAACACAUGCCCUUUCUGUCGAUUGGGACAAGAAAGAUAGAUAGAACAAAAGUACCUAUCCUUUUUCCUUAAUUCAUGGGUAAUCAUACUUUCUUUUAGAUCUUCACGACAUCUAAUCAACCACAAGGUUCUGACAUCAUAAUCAGUAUGAAUUGGUUGUGUUCUUAUGCAAGAGGAAAGGUUACUGCCUAUACCUCAAGAUAGCUUAAGACACAGGAAGUUAACUAUACAACACAUGAUCUUGAGUCAAGAGCAGCGGUAAUUGCUUUGAAGAUCUGGAGACACUACUUGUAGGGUACAAGAUGUACUAUUCUCACAGUCCACAAAAACAUUCAACAUACGUUCGACCAAGAAGAGUUAUCAUGCCAGUGAAGUCAAACGAAAGAAGCAAAGUCGUAUCCCGAUAGUGAAAGGUUCGCUGGAAUGCCAAGCGAGGAACCGAGUUCACUUAAGAACAUGAGGAGCAAAUAAAACUUCUAUCCGUAGCAUGAACUCUAAUUUCGGGACGAAAUUCCCUCUAACAGGGGGAUGAUGUGACAACCCGAUAUUCCGAGACAAUAUGAUGGAACACAAGUCAAAUUUAGAUCAAAAUUUAACUUUCCUAAAAUCUUAUUUGGGUUAAAUAAAGUAGUGGGAAUCGUAUCAAGGUUGUCGUACAUAUAAAGAACCCUAAAAUCUGAGUUAUAACGAAGAAGUUAUGACCAACCGAAGAUUCUCGGCAAAACCGGCAACACUGAUAGACGUAAAACGCGAAGUUACAAUACAAUAAUUUUUAGCUUUAGGUAUCUAAAUGAAGGUUCUAGAUAUCAUUAAAGUGUAAACAUACAUAAAAAGAAUGCCCAAAUCUGACUUCAUAUGAGGAAGUUAUGAUUUUUCUAAGUUUAAGACAUAGCAGUAGACAGCUAAAAACUCGAAAUCGAAAUCGAACAGCUUUUUGCCAACAUGACCUAAAUGAGAAUCGAAGAUCUCAUUAAUGUUAUUACAACGGUAAAAAGUCUGGCGAAAACAGACAUCGGAUGAAUAAGUUAUGGAAUUUUAACGGACUUUUCCUGCCCGGCCUAUUAAAAAUAUCAUAUUAAAAAUAAAAUCAAAAUUAGCCGACGAAGUCUAAACGAAAGUUGUAGACCGUAGUCUCACCUACGCGUGGAUAUAAAGAACGUCAAAAACGGAGUUCGUAUGAGGAAGAUAUGAAUUUUUGAAGUUUACUAAAUAAUUAAAAUAUAAAUUUAAUUCAAAAUCCGGUAUUAUCCGAAGGAGGAGUCAUCGGACCAAUCCAAGAUACGCCCAGCGUACCCUCGUACGCCUAGCGUACUCGGAUGCUAGGCUCCGGCUCGUCCACGUCGCUUCGAUGCUUCGACCGAGGAUGCGCUCAUGCAUGACGCAUGAGUACGCCACGCGUACUCUCGUACGCCCAGCGUACCGAGGUCCUCCAGCCACUAUAAAUAGAAUGCGAGGGUGCCGGCCAUUUUUGCUCGUUUCCUCCCUUUCUCAUGCCGAAGCUCUGUGUUUCAACCCUCGGAGCCAUCCCAAAGUCCCAAUUUUCAUAUCCAAGUUGGGAAGGAAGUUUUACGCUCUCGAGAUUCCCGAGAAUCCCAAGAAAUCCGCUUGCUUGAGUAGAAGUUCUGCUCGCUUUUCGUCUCGCUUUCUUCAAUCUAUCAAGUGAGUUCAUACCCCUAUAAUCUACACUUUUAAAUGUUUUAUUAAUACUUUUAUAUGCUUUUAAGGGGGGGGGGGAAUACAAGUAAAACACACGAUUAUUAUCGUGUGUUAUAUAAAGUUUCAUUAUACACUUUUAUCAACAGAAUCAUAUGUGAUUUAUAACUAUUAUAGGGAAACUUUCGUAUGCAAAAUAUAUCACGAUAACAUCAUAUCUUUUGAAAUGAAAAAUGUUGUUAUAUAUGUAUAAAUCAAACACUCUGCUUAUACUGUAGGUAUAUGUGUCCAUCUUAGGCACUACAAAAAUUAUACUUUUCAUAACAAGUGAACAUUUCACUAGGGAUUACUAUACAAACGAGACACACUUUUAGAAAACUAUAAUAGGUAUAGUUUUACGAGAACAUCACAAACUUUUACAAACUAGAAAUACUAUUUCAAGGAGAUACAUUCAUAUACAAGAACAAACGAACAUUUUCAUAUAUACUUCAAAUGGUUUUACAUGUUAAAACACUUUUAGAAACUGUCUUACAAACUGUAGGUUUCCUUUUGAAUCUCUUAUAGUUGUGCUUCAAACAAAGGUUUUCUCACACUUAAACUGUGUUGUCAAACGGUUUUCGAUUUGAUUUAUAAACUAACAUCAAGUCAUAAAUUCUUAUCUACUAAACUUUUCAAAGGUUUUACAAAACUUCUUUUAUGCUUUUAUAUUAUAAAUUGCAUGCCUCUAUAUGUAUAGUUAUAUAAGAAAUGUUUAAAAGACUUAGGAAGGCUAUCCACCCUGUUUCCUUUUCCUCGAUUUGGAUGUGGUCUGGUGGGAUAUCGGGUACCCGUCCGAAGGUCGUUUAAAUAUUAGUUAUAUAUCAUGUGUACAUAUAUAGUCAUAAAUGUUCCAUCAGUUAAUUCAGUUCCGACACUCUUGGGUAGCAAGGGUGUAUAAACCUACUUGGACACUCAUCAAUUACAUUCUAGUAAACUAUUAUAGGAAUAGUUUAGGGGAUACAAAACAUUAUCCUUAUUACAAGAAAUUACACCAGAGUCCGUUCAUUCAUGAGUCUAGACUACAUGCUAUAUGAAGGGAUACUCUUACAGAGAUUCCUAUUACAUGGACACACUUAUAUGGAUACUCUUACAGAGAUUUCGCUUACAUGAAUACGUUUACAUAGAUACGAUUAGAUGAGUACGUUUACGCAAAUAAUAUAUGAUGAGUUACUAUUACAUAUUAUAUGUGUAGAUACUGUUAUAUAGUUCUCCUUCUUAUCUUUACCUUGUGAUACAAUCACAUCAUCGACGAGAUAAAUUGGACUUUAUAUCCUAGUACCAAAGGACACUUUGUGGGACUAACCAUUCCUAUCACCAUUGUUAGCUACAGAGGUAAAUGAACAUCUACGGAUGUUUUUGGUUGAUACCAUUACAGGUAUACUUAAGGGACUAACUAUUCCUAAACCCGAUUGUUAGCAACAGAGGUAAAUGCACAUCUACGGAUGUCUACGGUUGAACCAUUUACGGCGAGUUUCCACGCCGUGUGUAUCUUAGUACCAAAGGAUACAACAUAAGUUAUUAUAUUAUUACUUUUUUAAUUUUAUAAUAAUAGUUAAACAGGGAAAAACCAUCACAUUUUCAAGUGAUGCGUACUUUCAAAACAGUCAGGUCUUGGUUAAAGACUACUUUCAAAACAUUUGGGUCUUGGUUGAAGACUACUUUUUAUACUAGUAGGAAAUAUGGGAUUUUCUAGGGUUUUCAUACUUAUACUAAAUGUUUCAUCAAACAUUCACCAGUCUUUCAUAACAAAUUUUCAAAGCAAUAACAUUAAAAUACUUAUGAAUUCACCAGCUUUAUUGCUGAUACUCGCUUUCAAAAUAACUUGUAUUCUCAGGUUACAAAUAGACAGGUACCGAUGCAAGGUUUAGAGAAGACAGAGCAGUCAAGACUCGUCUUUUAAUUUGAGUAUUCGUUAUGUUGUUUUAUACUAUGAAAGAACACAUUUGUAAGCUGAAUUAUUCUAUUAAUGCAAUGGAUGGUGUUGUUGCUUGUUUACUACUUUACAUUGUUGUGAUACAUACAUGACGUCCUCCGCCCCAGAACAUUUAUGCCGUUCUCGGUUUUGGGGUGUGACAAAUUGGUAUCAAUCUGUCACACCCCAAAACCGAGAACGGCGGAAACGUUCUGGGGCGGAGGACGUCAUGUAUUAGGAAAAUAUAGCCAUAUAAGUAUUAUCCUUUGGUAUUAGGAUAAACACGACAUCACAAUUGCCGAAACGUUCUCACCGUGAAUAUCCGUAGAUGUUCAUUUUCCUAUGUAGCUAACAGCAGGUGGAAGGAAUGGUUAGUUCCUUAAAUGUUUCCUAGUAUAAGUAUUAACCGUAGACAUCAGGAGAUGUGUCAUUAUCCUCUGUAGCUAACAGUGGCUAUAGGAAUGGUUAGUCCCACAAAGUAUCCUUUGGUACUAGGAUAUAAAGUCCAAUCUAUCUCGUCGAUUAUGUGAUUGUAUCACAAGGUAAAGAUAAGAAGGAGAACUAUAUAACAGUAUCUACAUAUAUAAUAUGUAAUAGUAACUCAUCAUAUAUUAUCUACGUAAACGUAUUCAUGUAAACGCAUCUAUGUAAACAUAUUCAUGUAAGCGGAGAUCUUUGUAAGUGUAUCCCUAUAAGUAUAUCCAUGUAAGAGGAAUCUCUGUAAGAGUAUCCCUUCAUAUAGCAUGUAGUCUAGACUCAUGAAUGAACUGACUCUGGUGUAAUUUCUUGUAAUAAGAAUAAUGUUUUGUAUCCCCUAAACUAUUCCUAUAAUAGUUUACUAGAAUGUAAUUGAUGAGUGUCCAAGUAGGUUUAUACACUCUUGCUACCCAAGAGUGUCGGAAUUGAACUGACUGAUGGAACAUUUAAGACUAUAUAUGUACAUAUGAUAUAUAACUAAUAUUUAAACGACUUUCGGACGAGUACCCAAUAUCCCAUCAGACCACAUCCAAAUCGAGGAAAAGGAAACAGGGUGGAUAGCCUUCCUAAGUCUUUUAAACAUUUCUUAUAUAACUAUACAUAUAGAGGCAUGCAAUUUAUAAUAUAAAAGCAUAAAAGAAGUUUUGUAAAACCUUUGAAAAGUUUAGUAGAUAAGAAUUUAUGACUUGAUGUCAGUUUAUAAAUCAAAUCGAAAACCGUUUGACAACACAGUUUAAGUGUGAGAAAACCUUUGUUUGAAGCACAACUAUAAGAGAUUCAA